AGUGAACGCUGGCGGUAGGCCUAACACAUGCAAGUCGAACGGCAGCACAGUAAGAGCUUGCUCUUACGGGUGGCGAGUGGCGGACGGGUGAGGAAUACAUCGGAAUCUACUUUUUCGUGGGGGAUAACGUAGGGAAACUUACGCUAAUACCGCAUACGACCUACGGGUGAAAGCAUGGGAUCUUCGGACCUUGCGCGAUUGAAUGAGCCGAUGUCGGAUUAGCUAGUUGGCGGGGUAAAGGCCCACCAAGGCGACGAUCCGUAGCUGGUCUGAGAGGAUGAUCAGCCACACUGGAACUGAGACACGGUCCAGACUCCUACGGGAGGCAGCAGUGGGGAAUAUUGGACAAUGGGCGCAAGCCUGAUCCAGCCAUACCGCGUGUGUGAAGAAGGCCUUCGGGUUGUAAAGCCCUUUUGUUGGGAAAGAAAAGCAGCAGGUUAAUACCCCGCUGUUCUGACGGUACCCAAAGAAUAAGCACCGGCUAACUUCGUG
RNAcentral lists this ribosomal RNA (492 nucleotides) under uncultured bacterium. RNAcentral's name for it is "partial 16S ribosomal RNA". It matches the Rfam family "Bacterial small subunit ribosomal RNA", at positions 29 to 507 of the family's 1533-position model. The record is from RNAcentral.